This 9271-nucleotide long non-coding RNA is filed under the name Medicago truncatula (barrel medic). RNAcentral's name for it is "long non-coding RNA (MTRU_LNC003825)". The record is from RNAcentral. Lineage: Eukaryota; Viridiplantae; Streptophyta; Magnoliopsida; Fabales; Fabaceae.
GAUGGGCUAUGUUGGGUGCCUUGGGAUGUGUCUUCCCUGAGCUCUUAUCUCGCAAUGGUGUCAAAUUCGGCGAGGCUGUAUGGUUCAAGGCAGGAUCCCAAAUUUUUAGUGAGGGUGGGCUUGACUACUUGGGUAACCCAAGUCUAGUCCAUGCACAAAGCAUCCUUGCUAUAUGGGCUGUCCAAGUUAUCUUAAUGGGUGCUGUUGAGGGUUACCGUAUUGCUGGUGGACCUCUCGGUGAGGUGGUUGACCCACUCUACCCAGGUGGCAGCUUUGACCCCUUGGGCCUUGCCGAAGAUCCCGAGGCUUUUGCAGAGUUGAAGGUGAAAGAACUAAAAAAUGGUAGGUUAGCUAUGUUCUCUAUGUUUGGAUUUUUCGUUCAAGCCAUUGUGACUGGAAAGGGACCUAUCGAGAACCUCGCCGACCACCUUGCUGACCCGGUUAACAACAAUGCUUGGGCCUACGCCACAAACUUUGCCCCCGGAAAAUAAGCAAUAACUACACCAAAUGAGAAGUGAAUGACUUGAAUAUCGAAGUUUGAAUUUGUUAGUGUGUUAUAUUUUGUAAAACGCAUGGCAUGUUACAUCUUUUUUUCCCCUAAGUUUGUACAUAUUAAGUGAAUGAAAUGAAUGGUUUUACCGAAACAAGGGAGAGUGAAAUGACUGUGAAUGGUAUCAAGCAAUCUAUUACCAGAACAUCAAGUGUAACGAUGUCCUUUCAAAAAAAAAUAAAAAAAAAUCAAGUGUAACGAUGUUUUAAACCAGUGAAGUUUUUAUCAUAUUAACUUUUCAUAUUUUAUAAUUAUAUUUUAUUUUAAAGAGGAGCCUACACAACGGUAAAAGUUGAUUAAAAAUGUCACGAGUUCAAGUUCUGAAAAUAGUCUCUUGUGUAAAAAUAGAAUAAGACUGUGUGCAAUACACCAGAUGGUGAGACCCUUUCUCGGACUCUACGUAUGUGGUUGCCUUGUGCACCAGACUGUUUCUUUGUUUGCUACAAUUAUAUUUUAUUUUGUUAACCUUUUACAUGCCAUAUAUCUUUAGCUCAAUAUGAGAUCUUGUAAUGCCGUUUGAGCUGAAUUAUGGUUUCCCCGUAUGGAAAUCACCCAAGAUCUAAAUCAUAGCAAGUAGGAAUUUGAGAUGGACUCCAAAGUUGAUAUUGAUAUGGUUAAUUUAAAUCCUACCGAAUUGCUUUUAUUCAACAUUUCCUACAUGAGAUCGUUGCUAUUCUGAACCUCCCUUCAAGGAGAAGUUUCAUCUGUUAUAUUUAUAAAGAAACAAAUAAAUAUGUAGAUCUCCUAUGCUAAUAAGAGGCACACUACAAGAGUUGGUGUACAUUAUGUUUUUCUCAUGCUCAGAUUUUGAUGUAGACAAGUUGGCAGCGCGAAUCGAAGACGAAGUGGCGCGUAAGAAAGGUUUAGUCGGAUUGGUGCUGAUUUAGCAUCCGACGUCGGAAUAACAUGAAUUAAACCUUUUUGAAAAGCCCCGGACCUCACGAGCAAUACUCAUCGCUUUGUCAUGAUGUAGGAGUUAAUUUAAUCAUUCGAGGUCGUCUGAAGGCCCGAAAACCGCGUUUUAAUACUUCAGCAUAUUCUAGAACUUUAUAUUUUAUUUCGUUUUGUUAUUUUUCAGCAUAUACGGGUUUGUUAUUUCAUUUAGUAUUUAAACAGAACUUAUGUAGCCAAAGAGGCACUUUUCAUUCAAUAAAAAUAUUCGAGACUUUUCUCUCAAUUCUGGUGGAUUUUGGAAACUCUUAUUUGAUAGGUUUAUCGCUUACAACCUGUUGUUAUCUUUUAAGUUUAGCGUUUGCUAACCCUUGCUUCCAUUUUGCGUCAGAUUUUUGUUACUAUAUGAUGCCAAAGGUGGCUGUAUCUCUAAUAAGCUUUCGUAGUUUAAUUUCCUUUCCUAUCAAAUAAUAAAAAAUGUAACGAUCACCAAUAAACCAUGAAUGAAUAGAGCAAUUCUUGCUUGGGCACAACCACAAAUAUAAAUAAUUUAGACACACACAUAAAAAAAAACAGACACCCACACACACGCGCAUAUAUAUAUAUCAUUGAUUAUUUUCAAAAAUAUAUUAUUUUAUUGAUUUUUCUUUUAUAUGUUUUCACUUAUGUGUGUCCAAAUCAAAAUGAUAUGGGGUUAUGAUGGGUAUUUGUAUUGGCUGCAUUAUUGCUAAUACAAAUAUCCAUGUUUGUGAUGUUCGAUACUAUGUUCCAAUAUGUAUAUUAAUAAUUCUAAUAAUAUGCAAUAAAAGUAAUGUAUAUUAAAAAAUUACAUUGUACUAAUAUGUAUAUUCUAUGAUUGUUUCAUCUCCUAUUUGAUUACACAACCCAAUUAUCACAAUCUUCAUAGCAGAAAAGACAGUUUAAGUGAAUUGAGUACCAGAAGCUCGUCAUGAUCAAGAGAGCGUUGAGUGUACAUGCAAAUUAUCCACCGACAAGGUUCUUACAUUGGCAACAUAAGUUAAACUUAGGUUCUUAUGGUUUGUGAAUCAACUCCUAGACCAAUCGACAUCGACAAUUUUUUUAGUCGUUUAGAAUCAUAUAAAUUUUCAAUUUAAUUUGAUUAGUAAAAAAUAAAUAAUUGUAUGUAUAAGCAAUGACAUAUUAUUAUUUAAAUUUUAAAGCAUGCUUACCAAAUAAAUAUAAAAAAGAUCAUGCAUAUUUGUAACAACUUUCCAAAGAUACAAUCAAAUGAUGUGUUAGUCUACUGGAUAUAUUACUUUUAAGGGUUAAAUAUGUUUUUAGUCUCUAUAAAUAUACCAACUUUUCCUUUUAGUCAUUCUAAAAUUUUCGUUCAACUUUUAGUCCCUAUAAAAUUUUCAAUCACUACUUAUAGUCCCUAUUUUUAAAUUAAUUUUAGUAUUUUUUAAUGAAAUUGUGCAGAAAUGUGUAGAAUAUUGUAAAAAUAUUUCCCAAAAAAAUUAGAAUUUUUUAACGAAACAUAAAUUUAAUAUGAAUUUUUAACCAUCAAAAAUAUAAAAAUUCAUAAUAAAUUCAUGUUUUGUUGAAAAAUUCUAAAUUUUUUUAGGAGAGAUACUUAAAAUAUUAUGAAUUUUUCUGCAAACUUUUAUUCAAAAAUGUGAAUUCUACAUAUGAAUUUACUUUAAAAGAGGGACCACAAGUGAAGAUGGAAAAUUUUUGGAGGACUAAAAGUUGAAGGAAAAUUUUAGAGGGACUAAAACGAAAAGUUGGUAUAUUUAUAGGGACCAAAAACAUAUUUAACCUUACUUUUAAUAAUGACAUGGGGGAUCCCUUUCAUUUUUGUUCUAAUAAUAGUAACAAUAAUAUGUUAUAAUAGCAGAAAAAACAAAAACAAAGUAACAUUGCACCACGUUUUGACGGUAGAUUGAAAAUGCAGGUUCAAAGAGAAAUAUUGAGAAAUCACUUGAACCCCCUCACACAAGAGUGGCUUCGCCACUGAUCACAGUGGCUGUGAUUGGUUGUAGGAUAGUGAGAUGAGAUCUUAGAUCUAGAAGUUCUUAGGUUGAAAUCAAUACGGGUAGGUCCUAGGUCUUAAGUGUAAACGAGGAUUUUGCUGAGAGCUUUAGAAUAAGAACUACACUAGUGGAUUACUUUCCUAACUUGGUAGCCCCAGAUGUAGGUGAGUUGUGCCGAACUGAGUUAACAAACUCUUCUUUACUUUCUUGUCUUUUAUUUUGCUGUUUUGUUUAUGUUUACUUCUAGCACGAUGUUGGAACAUUAAACGGAACAUGUGCUUUCUGUGCAUCUCGAGUUGAAACUUCACAUAGAACAACUUCUAACUGACACGCUAAAUAUUCAGCAUCCGUUAUAUUUGCCGGGAAUUUCAAGUUAUGACCAAACAAGUCUUACUCGAAUGAAUAAGGAUCACACCAAUCAGAAAAAUAAUAUAAUAAAGACAAACAACAAUUAAGACAAAAAAAAGACAAACAACAAUAUCUUAAUAAAAUUAGAUGUUGAUAUUAUGCUAUUUGAAGGACGAGUUUGAACUUUAUUUUAGAAAAUGUGGAAGGUCCAGUAAAUAAAUAUAUCAUGAAAGGUGGAUAUAAAAUAUCUCUGUGAGCUUGAUUCUCUUGGUAGUGAUAUUAUAUAUUAUAUGCAGAGUCAUCGAACCUCGGACACCCUGGUCACUUCUCCACAUUUAAAAUGUAUGAGCUCCGGUCACUAUACUAUUUGACAAAAAAAAAUAAUGCUUGAAAAAUUUAUUAGAAUGUUUACCACUUCAGCCCACAUUAAGUUCAAUCUAGUUAACCAAAAAAAUAUAAAUAUUCUUGAAGCAUGUUAAAAUCAUGUGAUACAAAUCAAUUUGAUUAUAUCAAGAUGAUGUUGAGAUAAUUUAUAUUAACACGACUCGCCUAUUAGCAAAAAUAUUUUGGUUUCGAUUUAUACAAUCGUCCAUUUGAGAGAUGGUUCGACUCUCAAGACAAAAAGUAAGAUAGCUUGCAACGAACUUGGUAAGUAGUCAUGUAGCGCUUUCAAAUGCGGGUGGUAUCCAUUGGAGAGCCAAAUACUUUUGUUAUAGUAACAUCACUGCGGAUUUUAUUAGUCAUAUACAUGGAUUUAAUUAUUUAUCUUGUUAUUUUUAAACAUAUAAUAAGAUCAGUUUAUUUAAAUUUAUUUCUUUAUCUCAUUAUUUUCAUUUUUAUUUUACAAGACAUAUUUCACAAUGCACUAAAGCAAAAUCUCAAUAUACUUUUUCACAUUGCAUGCAUUGCAACUAAAUUUUUGCACAUGAUAAAAAAAUAGAGUGAAACUACUUGAUUAGUUAGCUAAAACAAGAGAGCAUCUAUUGAAUGUUUUAUUUUGCAUUUCUUCCCACAUCCUUUUGUGUCCAUUUUGCAUUGCUUCCAAAAAUAAACGGUAAAAUAUGGUAUAAUGACAUAAUUUUAGGAUAAAUGUUUUUUUAUCUAUUGAGCCAAAGAAAAAAGAAAUAUUCUUUGUCCUUUUGAUGCAACACAAAUUAACUAGCAAUGGUACCAAUAUGCACUAUGGUCCCUCUUCUUCAACUCAUGAUUUUAUACCGUUAUGUAUGAAUUUGUACAUUAUUGAUUAGCCUAUCCAGAAAUCUAAUUUGACAAAUUUUAUUGGAUGGAAGACGUAUUUAAUGAUAUUAUCAUUACAUACUUUGGAUAUUUGAUAUAUUUUAUAAUGAAAGAAAAUAAUAUCUUAAAGAUAUGUGGUUUGAGAAAUAAAGGAAAUACUACAAACCAAUAGAAACUUAGAUAUGGAUUUCACAAGAUAUAGACCUUUAGUUUUACUCGAUGAUAACCAAAUAUAAAUAGCCAUAUAACCAAAUUUGAUAACCAUUCUCAACAUUGCCAAUUGAGCUUCAUUACUUUACUUAGUAAGCAAAAAAAUACCACAAUGGCUGCUUCAACAAUGUCCCUCUCUUCUUCAUCAUUUGUCGGGAAGGCAAUCAAACUUUCCCCAUCCACUCAAGACAUUGGGGUGGGAAGAGUCACAAUGAGGAAAACAACCACCAAGAAGUCCGUUCCGUCUGGAAGCCCAUGGUACGGUCCAGACCGUGUGAAGUACUUGGGCCCAUUCUCCGGUGAAGCCCCAUCCUACCUCACAGGUGAAUUCCCUGGUGACUACGGUUGGGACACUGCUGGACUUUCUGCUGACCCAGAGACAUUUGCCAAGAACCGUGAACUCGAGGUCAUCCACAGUAGAUGGGCUAUGUUGGGUGCCUUGGGAUGUGUCUUCCCUGAGCUCUUAUCUCGCAAUGGUGUACAAUUCGGUGAGGCCGUGUGGUUCAAGGCAGGAUCCCAAAUCUUUAGUGAGGGUGGACUUGACUACUUGGGUAACCCAAGUCUAGUCCAUGCACAAAGCAUCCUUGCUAUAUGGGCAGUCCAAGUUAUCUUAAUGGGCGCCGUGGAGGGUUACCGUAUUGCUGGUGGACCUCUAGGCGAGGUAGUCGAUCCACUCUACCCAGGUGGCAGCUUUGACCCCUUGGGCCUUGCCGAAGAUCCCGAGGCUUUUGCAGAGUUGAAGGUGAAAGAACUAAAAAAUGGUAGGUUAGCUAUGUUCUCUAUGUUUGGAUUCUUCGUUCAGGCCAUUGUCACCGGAAAGGGACCUAUUGAGAACCUCGCUGACCACCUUGCUGAUCCAGUUAACAACAAUGCUUGGGCCUAUGCCACAAACUUUGCCCCUGGAAAAUAAGCAAUAACUACACCAAAUGAGAAGUAGUGAAUGACUUGAAUAUCAAACUUUGAAUUUGUUAUUGUGUUAUAUGUUGAAAAACGUAUGGCGCAUUACAUCUUUUUUUCUUCUUCCUAAGUUUGUACAAAUUAUGUGAAUGAAAUGAAUGGUUUUACUAAAACAAGGGAGAGAGCAAUGAAUGUGAACGGUGAUCAUGCAAGCUAUAUAUCAACACUUUGUCAAUUAUAAUGAAUUACCAAACUAUUGUGUAAUUGAUUCUUCAUAAAUUAAUUAAGUGAAUGAAAUGAAUGGUUUCUUUGUUUUUUGUUUCCCUCACGUUGUCUUCUAAAACCACUUAUGAAUUCGAAACUAACAAAAUAAAGUAACAUCAUAUUGUGGGUUCCAUGUUUGGCAAUCACCCAAGAUAUAAAUCUUAAUAAGGUGGAAUUUGCAAUGCACUCCAUAGUUGGUGUUGAUAUAGUGCCAGAGGUGGUUGUACGAUCUAAGCUGAUUUCAUAGUUUAAUUUCUUUUCCUAUAAAAAAAUUGUAAGGAUCACCAGUAACCCAUGAAUGAAUUGAGCAACACUCUUUGGUCACAUACACAAAAAACUUGACCUUCAAUGACAAUAAAGUUUUGUAGGUAAAAGUCCUUAUACCGUAGGUAUAGCCCACAUACCUAAAACUUUACUUUUAAUGACAGUAAAUUUCUUUAGGUUAAAAUCUUUUUACCGUAUGUAUAGUCCCAAGUACCUAUACCCACAUAUUUUUAAGUUAAAAUUAAGCUCUAUUCCUAUAUCUAAAAUCCUAGGUAAAACAAAAGGUUUUGUUUAACAAGUAAAAUCUGUCACUUUUAGACUAUAGCGACGACCAAAAAUAUGUGGGUUUAAGUACUUGCGGUUAUACCUACGAUAAAAGGACAAUUAACUACGAAAAUUACCGUUACUAAAAUUACUAUCACUUUAGACUUAGUUUAUUUUCUUUUUUCUUUUUUCCCUUAUGUGUGCCCAAAUACAAAUGAUCAGGAUUUCGACCAAACAAGUUUUACUCGAAUGGUUAAGGAUCACCAAUCUUCGAACACAAAAUAUAAUAAUAAAGUCAAACAACAAUAUUUUGAUAUGCUAUUUGAAGGGCGAGUUUGAAUUUUAUGUUAGAAAAUGUGAAAGGUCCAUUAAAAAUGGAAAUCAUGGAAGGUAUCUAUAAAUAAAUGCUUGAAAAAUCUAUUAGAAUGUUCACCGGUUCAACCCAAAUAACUUUUAAUCUAUUUAACAAAAUAAAAUAUAAAUAUUCUUAAAGCGAGUUAAAAUUAGGUGAUACAAAUCUAUUUUAAAAUGUCAAGAUGAUGUUGAGUGAAUUAAUAUUAACUGACUCGCUGACUCGCUUUAAGAAUAUCUCGGUUUUGAUUUAUAAAAUCAUCCAUAUAAGGGAUAGUUCAACUCUUUAGACAAAAAAUAAGAUAGCUUGCAACGAACUUGGUAAUUAGUCUCAUAGCGCAUCCAAAUGUCGUAACUCAUAAGGUCACCAAGAUACAUGCAAAGUUCAUUGGAGAGCCAAAUACUUUUGUGAUAGUGAAUUGGCAAAAAAUUCAAGUCUAAUGUAUCAGUAUAUACUUAUUUUUAAAUCUCAAGAUAAUUUUUCACAUUGCAAAACAAAGAGCGUGGAUUAGAUGGUUAUAGCUUCCAACAUCCUUGUGUGUCUAUUUUGCAUUGCUUCCAAACAUAAACUGUAGAAUAUGGUAUAAUGACAUUUAGUAAAAAAAAUGGUAUAAUGACAUAAAAUUAGGAUAAAUGUGUUUUUAUCCAUGGAGCCAAAAAAGAAAUAUUCUUUGUCCAUUUGAUGCAACACACACCACAAAUUAACUAGCAAUGGGACCAAUAUGUAAUGUGGUCCCUCUUCUACAACAUAUAAUUAUAUACCGUUAUAUGCAUGAAUUUGUACGUUAUUGAUCAUCCUAUCCAGAAAUUACAAUUGGCAAACUCUUAUUGGAUGAAAAAGAUAUUUAAUGAUAUUAUUAUAUAUUAUUGUGGAUAUUUGAUAUGUUUGGGAAAGGAAGAAAAUAAUUUUUAAAGUGAUAUGUGGUUUGAGAAGCAACUGUAAUGCUCAAAACCAAUAGAAAGUUAGAUACAUAGAUUUCAUAAGAUAUGGACAUUUAAUUUAUCUUGUUGAAAACAACAUAUAAAUAACACCAUACCAUAACACAUUCAAUAUAGCCAUCAUCAACAUUGCCAAUAAAGAUAUUUAUUUGUUUACUUAGUAAACACUAAAAUUCUACCAUGGCUGCUUCAACAAUGUCUCUCUCUUCUUCAUCAUUGGUUGGGAAGGCAAUCAAGCUUUCCCCCUCUACUCCAGACCUUGUCAUGGGAAGAAUUACCAUGAGGAAAACAACCACCAAGAAGAAUGUUCCUUCUGGAAGCCCAUGGUACGGUCCAGACCGUGUCAAGUACUUGGGUCCAUUCUCUGGUGAAGCUCCAUCUUACCUUACUGGUGAAUUUCCCGGUGACUAUGGAUGGGACACUGCUGGACUUUCUGCUGAUCCGGAGACCUUCUCUAAAAACCGUGAACUAGAGGUCAUUCACAGUAGGUGGGCUAUGUUGGGAGCCUUGGGAUGUGUCUUCCCUGAGCUCUUGGCUCGCAAUGGUGUUAAAUUCGGUGAGGCCGUGUGGUUCAAGGCAGGAUCUCAAAUCUUUAGUGAGGGUGGACUUGACUACUUGGGAAAUCCAAGUCUAGUCCAUGCACAAAGCAUCCUUGCUAUAUGGGCUGUCCAAGUUAUCUUAAUGGGUGCUGUUGAGGGUUAUCGUAUUGCAGGUGGACCUCUCGGUGAGGUUGUCGACCCACUCUACCCAGGUGGUAGUUUUGACCCAUUAGGCCUAGCUGAUGACCCAGAGGCUUUUGCAGAGUUAAAGGUGAAAGAACUCAAAAAUGGAAGGUUAGCUAUGUUUUCCAUGUUUGGAUUCUUUGUUCAAGCUAUUGUAACCGGAAAAGGACCUAUAGAGAAUCUUGCUGACCACCUUGCUGACCCAGUUAACAACAAUGCAUGGGCCUAUGCCACAAACUUUGCCCCUGGAAAGUGAGCCAAAACUACACCAUACCAAUGAGAAGUGAUUUCUGAAGCAAACAAUGAGAAUUCAUAUGCUUUGAGAAACAUAUGGUGCAUUU